AUCCAAUUUUGUCUGGUAUGGAAUUAGUCUACAAUAGACAAAGGGAAGUAAUUUGUUUUAAAAGAAUGUAUUACAACAGAAUUAAAUUAGUAAUUGGCAGAUGGACCAUUUACAUAUUCACAUUCUCUUGUCACAGGAUUUGUAAUUGCAUGAGCAAUAAUUUCUGACUUGUGUCUCAUGUUGAGCAGGGAAAAAAUAUUGCAGGGGGGUGUUAAAAAAGAAAUUGUGUAAAAGGGGG
RNAcentral lists this long non-coding RNA (238 nucleotides) under Mytilus galloprovincialis (Mediterranean mussel). Lineage: Eukaryota; Metazoa; Mollusca; Bivalvia; Mytilida; Mytilidae. The record is from RNAcentral.